Non-coding RNA from Pristionchus pacificus, 61 nucleotides. Lineage: Eukaryota; Metazoa; Nematoda; Chromadorea; Rhabditida; Neodiplogasteridae. The record is from Rfam.
UCUUCAUUUCUCAUGCUCUCUCACCGGUCAGAGAGGCGAGAGAGUGUGCGAAAUGAGGAGA